RNAcentral lists this transfer RNA (65 nucleotides) under Blaps rhynchoptera. Its description in RNAcentral is "tRNA-Pro". Lineage: Eukaryota; Metazoa; Arthropoda; Insecta; Coleoptera; Tenebrionidae. The record is from RNAcentral.
CAAGAAGUAGUUUAAUUUAAAAUAUUAGUUUUGGAAAUUGAUGAUAAGUGUUAACUUUUUCUUGA